GAUGAACGCUGGCGGUAUGCUUAACACAUGCAAGUCGAACGGACUCUUCGGAGUUAGUGGCGGACGGGUGAGUAACGCGUGAGAAUCUGGCUUUGGGUUCGGGACAACCACUGGAAACGGUGGCUAAUACCGGAUGUGCCGAGAGGUAAAAGAGAAAUUGCCUGAAGAUGAGCUCGCGUCUGAUUAGCUAGUUGGUGAGGUAAAGGCUCACCAAGGCAGCGAUCAGUAGCUGGUCUGAGAGGAUGACCAGCCACACUGGGACUGAGACACGGCCCAGACUCCUACGGGAGGCAGCAGUGGGGAAUUUUCCGCAAUGGGCGAAAGACUGACGGAGCAAUACCGCGUGAAGGAAGAAGGCUCUUGGGUUGUAAACCUCUUUUCUUAGGGAAGAACAAAAUGACGGUACCUAAGGAAUCAGCAUCGGCUAACUCCGUG
This 435-nucleotide ribosomal RNA is filed under the name uncultured bacterium. RNAcentral's name for it is "partial 16S ribosomal RNA". It matches the Rfam family "Bacterial small subunit ribosomal RNA", at positions 28 to 507 of the family's 1533-position model. The record is from RNAcentral.